RNAcentral lists this long non-coding RNA (3107 nucleotides) under Androctonus crassicauda. Lineage: Eukaryota; Metazoa; Arthropoda; Arachnida; Scorpiones; Buthidae. The record is from RNAcentral.
AAUUACCAUAAACCGUGAAGUAAAAUUUCAGUUAAAAAAAAAAAAAAUUGUCUUUAAAUCGGGUCGACUAUGAUGGGGAAGAAAAUGAAUUUUGAAAAUCAUUUUUCUUCAUUGGAAAGUUGAUCUUUUCUGAUUCUUGUCGGAAGGAUUCCGAUUUGUUCGAAGAUUACGCCGCUUAUAAACACGAUAAAUAAAUUAGUGCAAUAUAUCUGGAGGAGAGAACUGACUUUACGAUAUCGGCCAUUAAAAAGUAGUAGCAGUCACAACUCGCUAUUAUUUACUUCCAUAGUAGAAUUUUUUCAUUCUUUAGUGUGAUAUCGAGUCUUAUAAUGUAAAAGUUGCCCGAUUUUCCUCUUACCUGUUUUAAAUAUCGGGCAAUACGGAGUAAAAGAUUUUUUUCUAUUCUUUACCUAAUAUCAGAGACUGUAAGGUAAAGCGGUCAAGUUUUUUCCCAUUCUGACUCUCUUAACAGCAUUGUACGAAAACAAAAUUUCGCAUGUUAAAUAUCAGAAACAGACCAGCCGAAAAAAAAGAUGCGAUUUUAAAUUCAGAAUAUUAAUUCUAAGAAAAAUAUAUUUUUGAAAGAUGAGAAAUGCUACUGUGAUUAAGUUCAUUCUUUUUCUCCUCUGCUUUCCUUUAAAUUCCUGAUAAAUGACUUUUUGUGUUUUCCAAUAAUUUUAAAUCGUGUUUGCUCAGAGUAUUUUCUUGUAAUUUGUGCCGACUUCAAAUAAGCGUUAGGAGUGCGAUAAGGAAAAAAAAGAGGUUUAUUUAUAAUUUAAAGGCGAAACAAUUUUGAAGCAAAGUUAUAAAAGUGCAAAAAAAAUGCGGAAAGAGAAGAAUAAUUUCCUUUUCUGUGGCUACAGUAAUAUAAUAAUAUUGGCAAACUGAUAGAAUUUCCAUAAUUUCUGCCGUAUAGGAGAGAAAAAACGGAAAUUUUUAAAAAGUUACAUUAAUUUUAGAUAAUGAAAUUCUGGCCGGUAGAUCGUAAAACGGAAACAUGAAUUUUGGAUUUGUUUAGCGUUAAUCCUCCAAACCGAAUAUCCGAAAUUGGGGCAGCAAUCGAUGGAAAGUUACGAAAGUGUGUCUGGUAACGAUUGUCUUUUAGCUGGUAGCUUACGUAACACUCUUAAUUAUCAGCAUCCGAUAAGAGGAACCAUCUUCAUAAUAGGAUACCGCUUAUCAAAAGUUGGCCUCUAAACUCACCCGCUGACAAGACAAUGGCCUCGAGGCCUGUUUAGCCAGUGGGGGACAGAGAAAGGGACCGAAUAUAUCGAUUGACACAAUCUCUUCCUAGAUUGCUGUGACAACACGGAGAGGUCCCGGAUGCGAUGUUUACUGUGUCAACUGGGUGAGAGCAGAUUGACAUUUUGUAGUAACGCCAUGCCAAGAGUAAUGUGGAAACUAUGUGUCAAUAUUUCCGAAACUGUAGCGGUUUAUGCAUCUCGUUUUGAUGGGCGGUUUGCCUACCACUUACAUUACGGCCAGUUUGGAGUGUUUUCGUUUCUAGUCAAAUACUAACUCUCCAAUUCCAAACUGCAUUAUUAGUAUAGAGUAGGACCACGCCUAAAUGCCAAUCAAUCUCCCCACGCAUGGCAGAAACGUCUGGUCCUGGGGAAAAAAGAAAGAAAGACAGAGAAAUGCGGUUUUUCUUUCUUCGGCUGGCCAGGCGAGCGCACUUUUCAAACUCAAGGCCACCUUUCUCCUCUACCACGCCCUUAAAACGACCCAUAUUUCUCGCACCGUUUGACCUCGCUUCCAAUCGUUAUCGUGUUUAUCUCUCGGAAAAAUUACCAUUACGUAUUCUUUUCUAGACCCGCACAUUUAAAAAAAGAAACGGUUGGUGAGGCGACUCUCAUUGCAAACAUUGCCAUUAGUCCAGAACAGCAAUGCUAAUUGCUCUCUAUCCGACUUGGCCUACCUCGAAUCACUCACUCGGCCAGCUUACCACUAAAAUAAUAAUCUAAUAUUAAUAGAAACAGACCAUGGUUUGCAGUCGACUUCACUGGCUAGUUUAGCCACAGAAAAUUGCUACAUUUUUACCAAGGCCAAAAAAAGAGAGAUUAACUCUGUGGACAUUUCGAAUUUUUAUGUUUUGAAAGCCCGAAUUUUCUGUUCAAAUUAUACCAAUCGGUAAAUGCUGUUAGGUAAAGCGAUUAAUACAUAUUGGAUUUACCUAAGCUGAAGAUUGAUUGGGCAAAACCCUUAUAACAAAUAGGUGAUUAUAUUGCAUAAAUGGUCUUGGCAGACUAUAUCUGUCAUGCACGGGUGUGUGGCUGGCCAAAGGCGGGCUGUACUUGGAAUAGAUGCGCCAUCAGUUGCAAAACCGGUUACGUAGCGAGCGGCAGCUGUCGUUUAGAAAGGUCAUCUGAUAUUAUAUUCGACCUUCUGGCCUGGGAGAAGAAUUCGGACUUGUAUACAACUAUUCGGAUUUCGGCUUGGCCGAUCUCCCACCUAACAAAAUCUACAUAGCACCACCUACUUCGGAAACAUUCGUCUUGGUUAAACGUAUAAAUUUUUUUUUUAAUUUCCACGGAAUUCUAGGUAAAUGGUGAUAGUUUUAACAGAUUUUUCCGUCUUCGUUAUGUAAGAAUCAAAAAUGAUUGUUUUAAUGCAGAAAUUCCGGAUUUAUUUCUAGGUUGUCUCUGGCGCUAUAUAGUUAGCAAUAGGCAAAUUUUCGGCCAGGUGAUUUGGUAGUUGAGCCAUCGAGAAUUGUUGCCAGCAUAAAAAUAUCCGUCUGGAUACACCACAUCUCUAUUCUUCCCGCGAAUUAGCUUUGGGAGCUGUAAAGGGACCGAAAUAAUUUCAAGGACGCAAUGAGCAUUUCUAACUUUAACAAUAGCUCGGGUUAAUAAGCGAUCAAUCACAAUGAAGUCAUAUUUUGCUUCUUGGAUUUCUUCUCUGUAAUUAUUUAAAUCGCAUUCUGGAAUUUUAAUUCGAUUGGCCCAGCGCUUUAUGGGAACAGCCUGACUAGAUAAAGAGUUGGCAAAUUUUGUCUAAGAAAACUCUUCAUUAUCGAAAAAUCGUUGGUUAAAAAAAGUAACCAGGUUUCUUUUUCUGUUCUCCACAGCGCUAUCAUUUUAGCUCGUUUUUUUCUACGCCAACCAAAG